ACGGAAGGCAGCAGUGAGGAAUAUUGGUCAAUGGACGAGAGUCUGAACCAGCCAAGUCGCGUGAAGGAAGACGGUUCUGUGGAUUGUAAACUUCUUUUGUCUGAGGGUAAAGUGAGAGAUGCGUCUCUUAUUGCAAGUAUCAGACGAAUAAGCAUCGGCUAACUCCGUGCCAGCAGCCGCGGUAAUACGGAGGAUGCGAGCGUUAUCCGGAUUUAUUGGGUUUAAAGGGUGCGUAGGCGGGCGAUUAAGUCAGCGGGGAAAUUGUGUAGCUUAACUAUACCGAGCCGUUGAAACUGGUUGUCUUGAGUGUAAACGAGGUAGGCGGAAUGUGACGUGUAGCGGUGAAAUGCUUAGAUAUGUCACAGAACCCCGAUUGCGAAGGCAGCUUACCAGGAUACGACUGACGCUGAGGCACGAAAGCGUGGGUAUCAAACAGGAUUAGAUACCCUGGUA
Molecule: ribosomal RNA, 453 nt
Filed under: uncultured Porphyromonadaceae bacterium
Lineage: Bacteria; Pseudomonadati; Bacteroidota; Bacteroidia; Bacteroidales; Porphyromonadaceae
Description: partial 16S ribosomal RNA
Rfam family: Bacterial small subunit ribosomal RNA
Source: RNAcentral